Molecule: ribosomal RNA, 253 nt
Filed under: uncultured microorganism
Description: partial 16S ribosomal RNA
Rfam family: Bacterial small subunit ribosomal RNA
Source: RNAcentral
UACGUAGGGUGCGAGCGUUAAUCGGAUUUACUGGGCGUAAAGCGUGCGCAGGCGGCCCGUUAAGACAGGUGCGAAAUCCCUGGGCUCAACCUAGGAAUUGCGCUUGUGACUGGCGGGCUCGAGUACGGUAGAGGGGGGUGGAAUUCCUGGUGUAGCAGUGAAAUGCGUAGAGAUCAGGAGGAACACCGAUGGCGAAGGCAGCCCCCUGGGCCUGUACUGACGCUCAUGCACGAAAGCGUGGGGAGCAAACGGG